RNAcentral lists this ribosomal RNA (2924 nucleotides) under Escherichia coli. Its description in RNAcentral is "bacterial LSU rRNA". It matches the Rfam family "Bacterial large subunit ribosomal RNA". The record is from RNAcentral. Lineage: Bacteria; Pseudomonadati; Pseudomonadota; Gammaproteobacteria; Enterobacterales; Enterobacteriaceae.
GGGUUGUGAGGUUAAGCGACUAAGCGUACACGGUGGAUGCCCUGGCAGUCAGAGGCGAUGAAGGACGUGCUAAUCUGCGAUAAGCGUCGGUGAGGUGAUAUGAACCGUUAUAACCGGCGAUUUCCGAAUGGGGAAACCCAGUGUGUUUCGACACACUAUCAUUAACUGAAUCCAUAGGUUAAUGAGGCGAACCGGGGGAACUGAAACAUCUAAGUACCCGAGGAAAAGAAAUCAACCGAGAUUCCCCCAGUAGCGGCGAGCGAACGGGGAGGAGCCCAGAGCCUGAAUCAGUGUGUGUGUUAGUGGAAGCGUCUGGAAAGGCGCGCGAUACAGGGUGACAGCCCCGUACACAAAAAUGCACAUACUGUGAGCUCGAUGAGUAGGGCGGGACACGUGGUAUCCUGUCUGAAUAUGGGGGGACCAUCCUCCAAGGCUAAAUACUCCUGACUGACCGAUAGUGAACCAGUACCGUGAGGGAAAGGCGAAAAGAACCCCGGCGAGGGGAGUGAAAAAGAACCUGAAACCGUGUACGUACAAGCAGUGGGAGCCUCUUAAUGGGGUGACUGCGUACCUUUUGUAUAAUGGGUCAGCGACUUAUAUUCUGUAGCAAGGUUAACCGAAUAGGGGAGCCGAAGGGAAACCGAGUCUUAACUGGGCGUUAAGUUGCAGGGUAUAGACCCGAAACCCGGUGAUCUAGCCAUGGGCAGGUUGAAGGUUGGGUAACACUAACUGGAGGACCGAACCGACUAAUGUUGAAAAAUUAGCGGAUGACUUGUGGCUGGGGGUGAAAGGCCAAUCAAACCGGGAGAUAGCUGGUUCUCCCCGAAAGCUAUUUAGGUAGCGCCUCGUGAAUUCAUCUCCGGGGGUAGAGCACUGUUUCGGCAAGGGGGUCAUCCCGACUUACCAACCCGAUGCAAACUGCGAAUACCGGAGAAUGUUAUCACGGGAGACACACGGCGGGUGCUAACGUCCGUCGUGAAGAGGGAAACAACCCAGACCGCCAGCUAAGGUCCCAAAGUCAUGGUUAAGUGGGAAACGAUGUGGGAAGGCCCAGACAGCCAGGAUGUUGGCUUAGAAGCAGCCAUCAUUUAAAGAAAGCGUAAUAGCUCACUGGUCGAGUCGGCCUGCGCGGAAGAUGUAACGGGGCUAAACCAUGCACCGAAGCUGCGGCAGCGACACUAUGUGUUGUUGGGUAGGGGAGCGUUCUGUAAGCCUGUGAAGGUGGCCUGUGAGGGUUGCUGGAGGUAUCAGAAGUGCGAAUGCUGACAUAAGUAACGAUAAAGCGGGUGAAAAGCCCGCUCGCCGGAAGACCAAGGGUUCCUGUCCAACGUUAAUCGGGGCAGGGUGAGUCGACCCCUAAGGCGAGGCCGAAAGGCGUAGUCGAUGGGAAACAGGUUAAUAUUCCUGUACUUGGUGUUACUGCGAAGGGGGGACGGAGAAGGCUAUGUUGGCCGGGCGACGGUUGUCCCGGUUUAAGCGUGUAGGCUGGUUUUCCAGGCAAAUCCGGAAAAUCAAGGCUGAGGCGUGAUGACGAGGCACUACGGUGCUGAAGCGACAAAUGCCCUGCUUCCAGGAAAAGCCUCUAAGCAUCAGGUAACAUCAAAUCGUACCCCAAACCGACACAGGUGGUCAGGUAGAGAAUACCAAGGCGCUUGAGAGAACUCGGGUGAAGGAACUAGGCAAAAUGGUGCCGUAACUUCGGGAGAAGGCACGCUGAUAUGUAGGUGAAGCGACUUGCUCGUGGAGCUGAAAUCAGUCGAAGAUACCAGCUGGCUGCAACUGUUUAUUAAAAACACAGCACUGUGCAAACACGAAAGUGGACGUAUACGGUGUGACGCCUGCCCGGUGCCGGAAGGUUAAUUGAUGGGGUUAGCGGUAACGCGAAGCUCUUGAUCGAAGCCCCGGUAAACGGCGGCCGUAACUAUAACGGUCCUAAGGUAGCGAAAUUCCUUGUCGGGUAAGUUCCGACCUGCACGAAUGGCGUAAUGAUGGCCAGGCUGUCUCCACCCGAGACUCAGUGAAAUUGAACUCGCUGUGAAGAUGCAGUGUACCCGCGGCAAGACGGAAAGACCCCGUGAACCUUUACUAUAGCUUGACACUGAACAUUGAGCCUUGAUGUGUAGGAUAGGUGGGAGGCUUUGAAGUGUGGACGCCAGUCUGCAUGGAGCCGACCUUGAAAUACCACCCUUUAAUGUUUGAUGUUCUAACGUGGGCCCCUUACCGGGGUUGCGGACAGUGUCUGGUGGGUAGUUUGACUGGGGCGGUCUCCUCCUAAAGAGUAACGGAGGAGCACGAAGGUUGGCUAAUCCUGGUCGGACAUCAGGAGGUUAGUGCAAUGGCAUAAGCCAGCUUGACUGCGAGCGUGACGGCGCGAGCAGGUGCGAAAGCAGGUCAUAGUGAUCCGGUGGUUCUGAAUGGAAGGGCCAUCGCUCAACGGAUAAAAGGUACUCCGGGGAUAACAGGCUGAUACCGCCCAAGAGUUCAUAUCGACGGCGGUGUUUGGCACCUCGAUGUCGGCUCAUCACAUCCUGGGGCUGAAGUAGGUCCCAAGGGUAUGGCUGUUCGCCAUUUAAAGUGGUACGCGAGCUGGGUUUAGAACGUCGUGAGACAGUUCGGUCCCUAUCUGCCGUGGGCGCUGGAGAACUGAGGGGGGCUGCUCCUAGUACGAGAGGACCGGAGUGGACGCAUCACUGGUGUUCGGGUUGUCAUGCCAAUGGCACUGCCCGGUAGCUAAAUGCGGAAGAGAUAAGUGCUGAAAGCAUCUAAGCACGAAACUUGCCCCGAGAUGAGUUCUCCCUGACUCCUUGAGAGUCCUGAAGGAACGUUGAAGACGACGACGUUGAUAGGCCGGGUGUGUAAGCGCAGCGAUGCGUUGAGCUAACCGGUACUAAUGAACCGUGAGGCUUAACCUUACAACGCCGAAG